GGGAUUUUUUGUUGUUUGUGUAAUUGUUUUUUCCCUUUUUUUUUGAGCAGGUUUUACAGCCACACUGCUCUAUUUGUCCCUCAUUGCCAUGUAGUAAGCCUACACAAACAUGACAAGUAGAGCAUCGAGAAACUGACUACAAAAUGCUGCUAAAAG
This is a long non-coding RNA of Oxyura jamaicensis (ruddy duck), 156 nucleotides long. RefSeq lists it as uncharacterized. The record is from RefSeq and is a predicted model, not a curated record. Lineage: Eukaryota; Metazoa; Chordata; Aves; Anseriformes; Anatidae. The transcript has 3 exons.